GAUGAAGAACGUAGCGAAAUGCGAUAAUUAAUGUGAAUUGCAGAAUUCAGUGAAUCAUCGAGUCUUUGAACGCACAUUGCGCCCCCUGGUAUUCCGGGGGGCAUGCCUGUCCGAGCGUCAUUGCUGCCCUCAAGCACGGCUUGUGUGUUGGGCCCCGUCCUCCGAUCCCGGGGGACGGGCCCGAAAGGCAGCGGCGGCACCGCGUCCGGUCCUCGAGCGUAUGGGGCUUUGUCACCCGCUCUGUAGGCCCGGCCGGCGCUUGCCGAUCAACCCAAAUUUUUUAUCCAGGUUGACCUCGGAUCAGGUAGGGAUACCCGCUGAACUUAAGCAUAUCAAUAAGCGGAGGA
Molecule: unclassified non-coding RNA, 347 nt
Filed under: soil metagenome
Description: partial contains 5.8S ribosomal RNA, internal transcribed spacer 2, and large subunit ribosomal RNA
Rfam family: 5.8S ribosomal RNA (bases 1-120)
Source: RNAcentral